ACGUCUACAUUAGAUACCCGCGUAGUCCCUGCCGUAAACUAUGCGCGUUAGGUGUAUCGGUGACCACGAGUUACCGAGGUGCCGAAGGGAAACCGUGAAACGUGCCGCCUGGGAAGUACGGUCGCAAGGCUGAAACUUAAAGGAAUUGGCGGGGAGCACCACAACGGGUGGAGCCUGCGGUUUAAUUGGACUCAACGCCGGGAAGCUCACCGGAUAAGACAGCGGAAUGAUUGCCGGGCUGAAGACUCUGCAUGACUAGCUG
Molecule: ribosomal RNA, 262 nt
Filed under: uncultured archaeon
Lineage: Archaea
Description: partial 16S ribosomal RNA
Rfam family: Archaeal small subunit ribosomal RNA
Source: RNAcentral